RNAcentral lists this long non-coding RNA (671 nucleotides) under Olea europaea subsp. europaea. The record is from RNAcentral. Lineage: Eukaryota; Viridiplantae; Streptophyta; Magnoliopsida; Lamiales; Oleaceae.
UGAUAAUUUAAAGUUUGGUUAGAAUAUUCACUUCAGCCGCAGCUAGAGCUCUAUAGAUGGUGCUACAUUUAUAUGGAGUUAAGCUAUGGAAUGAUUAAGAUGGUGAAUAGUAAAUAUUUUAGAAAAUAUGUUAAAAAAAAUUCUUGAUAUUAUGAAAUUAAGUUGUUAUUAGUUUAGUUUUGUAAUUUCAAUAGUAGUUGUUGAAUAUGUGACCCAACUUUUGAUGUUGAUUUCGUGUUUUAGUUGAAAAAGAAGUUAAAGAGGGAUCAAUGUCGUUAAGGAUGUUUUUGGGCAACAAGAUGGCGUUGGGCAACCAAAGAGGUCCCCAGGCACCAAUUGAGGUGAAAAACUGGAGAUAUUUAUCGAAUACUUGACGGUUGGGUGCUUUUGGAGGCGUUAGGACUGUUACUCGCUUUUAGUCCACUGCAAGCUCGAGCGUUGCGCGCCGAUCGCUUGGCUGGAGGCUGCAGCUCUUUAUUCGAAAAAAAAAAAAAUUGUUUCCUAAUUUUUGGCUCGUUUUUAAUCUCCUUUACAACUUUAAAAUAUUCUUUUGAGUCAUAAUUAUAUAGUCCAUUGAUUGUAUGGUUUUCAUAUAACUUUGUAUGAGUUAGAAUCAAGUUAGAAACACAAUAUUUUAUAUUCUUUCUCCAUAUUAAUAAAUUAUUUAUUUC